This is a long non-coding RNA of Canis lupus familiaris (dog), 1530 nucleotides long. RefSeq lists it as uncharacterized. The transcript is spliced from 4 exons. Lineage: Eukaryota; Metazoa; Chordata; Mammalia; Carnivora; Canidae. The record is from RefSeq and is a predicted model, not a curated record.
CAGGUCACAGGCCCACAGCACUAGAGGGAGCCUCCUGGUUCAGACUAUUCUCAUGGUGACCUCUCGGCCUCGCUAGCACUUGUCCUCCUCCACACCGGCCGCACCCUUCGCUCUGCUCCUUCACUACUCACAUCAGGCCUUUCCUCCAUCUAGAAGGGACAGGGAAGUUUCCAGGAGGCCCUCCCUCUUCUCUUCUUCCUCUGAACUUUCAUUUCUUCCACUAAUACUGGUGGAAGCCUGCUCCGGGGUAGGGCCUCAAAUGAAACGGAAAGUGGGCCCCACCUGCACAAAGCCUCAGCGGUUCCCAGGAAAGGGCAAUGACCUCUCCAUUCUUCCCUAUUUCAGAAUCUGCCACUCACUCCUACAAUGAGGCUCCGGGAAACCAUCAGAGAAGUCCUGGGCUCUUGCAACAUAUUCAACAAAACAGGAAUUUAGAGCUGGAAGGAACAUGGAAGAUUAUUUAGCUCCAUCCCUCCUCCUAUAUGUGGCUCAGGAGACUGAGGCCCAGAGAGGACAGGCGCUGGCAAGCCCUUCACACCCCCUUGGCUGCACCUUGGGCCUCCUAGGGAGCAGGACCCCAGAGGCCAGGACCUUUCCAGGUUCUCCAGCAAUGGCUGUGCGUGCGGCUGGGAGCCUCCAGGUCUGGGGGUGUGGCUUCCUCCCCCGCUUGCAGCCCAGCCUCCGUCUGGUCCGGAAUGAGAAGCAACAGCACAGGGCUGAGAUGGGCGGACAGUGGCUUUGGGAGCGCUGCGCGGAUCCUAAGGCCAAGAGAUGGCCAUCACCGGGUCACCAGGAGAAGGAAUACAAAGCUCACCCCAGCUACCCACCCACGGUGCUGAUGGGAGAAUCCAGAGAGGCUAUGAAAGACUCUAUCGCCCCCGUGUGGCAAAAUGGGAGAAAGACAGGGCUGAGCGGAGGUUUGGGAAAUCUUAGGCUCUUAGGUGGAGCGACUGCAGUGCCCCUCCUGGGUAAUAGGCUGAGGGCUCUCUCCAGUUACACAGUCCCUGCCCCUACUGGAUUCAUCAAAUCCCUUGGGAAUGCUGAGAGGGCAUUGUGAGGGAGUGAAUUGAAUUCCUUGUAAAUUUGUAAAUGGAAGGAAGCAGUGUGAAGUAAGAACAUAGAUUUAUGCACAAAAAUGUUCAUCAAGUCCACGUCAGUAGGGGCGCCUGGGUGCCUCGGUUGGUUGAGUGUCUGCCUUCCGUUCAAGUCAUGAUUUAGGGUCCUGGGAUCAAGUCCCCAGUUGGGCUCUUUGCUCAGCAGGGAGUCUGGUUCUCCCUCUGUGCUCUCUCUCUCUCUCAAAUAAAUAAAUAAAUCUUAAAAAAAAAAUCCAUGUCUGUAAAUGCAACACUUGGGUUGACAAUUGUUUAAGUGCCUGAUGGGUACAGGGGUUCGUUAUACUAUUCAAUUCAUUUUUGUGUGUUUGAAAUGCUGUGAAACAAAGGAAUUAAUAGGAAACAUAAAGGUCCAACAAUAAGAAUCUAAAUAAAUUAUGAUGCAGCUGUACAAAGGAAUAACAUCUAAAAACAUUAA